CCAAAUGGUCCACUGAGGCAUCCAUCUCUCUGGAAGAUUAAAAUAUCUGAGAAAAUAUUCAGCUUUGACAUGCAAAAUGGUUGCACAGCAGAUUAAUAUCGCUGAGAACAUAUUUUCUGAGCUCCUUUCAUUGCCAUAUUACCCACAAAAUUUCUUGUUCAGUGUUGUUAAUAUGCUACCAUGUUAACAACAGAGCUGGAGACCUCAGCCUUUGUCCAUCAUGGGGGUUAAAUGGAGCCUGGGAGAAGGAGGCAUAAGACAAGACAGACCAGCGGCACCACCCAAGGACCAGAGGAUAAAAAGACCCCAUCAUUCCUCAACUCUACAAGAAUUCUGCUGGAGGAGCACAGAGUUAAAGCUGGGCCCACCACGUGACAUU
Suricata suricatta (meerkat) is the source of this 379-nucleotide long non-coding RNA. RefSeq lists it as uncharacterized. NCBI's taxonomy places the organism in Eukaryota, Metazoa, Chordata, Mammalia, Carnivora, Herpestidae. The record is from RefSeq and is a predicted model, not a curated record. The transcript has 3 exons.